This 230-nucleotide ribosomal RNA is filed under the name uncultured bacterium. RNAcentral describes it as "partial 16S ribosomal RNA". It matches the Rfam family "Bacterial small subunit ribosomal RNA", at positions 107 to 334 of the family's 1533-position model. The record is from RNAcentral.
CGCGUAACACGUAAGCAACCUGCCCCAAAGACCGGGACAACAUUCCGAAAGGGGUGCUAAUACCGGAUGUGGUCAUCGGAAGACCUCUUCUGAUGAGUAAAUCAAGCAAUUGGCUUUGGGAGGGGCUUGCGGCCUAUCAGCUAGAUGGUGGGGUAAUGGCCUACCAUGGCGACGACGGGUAGCUGGUCUGAGAGGAUGGUCAGCCGGAUUGGGACUGAGAUACGGCCCAG